Molecule: ribosomal RNA, 682 nt
Filed under: uncultured bacterium
Lineage: Bacteria
Description: bacterial SSU rRNA
Rfam family: Bacterial small subunit ribosomal RNA
Source: RNAcentral
GGGGGAUAACACUUGGAAACAGGUGCUAAUACCGCAUAACCAUAGUUACCGCAUGGUAACUAUGUAAAAGGUGGCUAUGCUACCGCUUUUGGAUGGGCCCGCGACGCAUUAGCUAGUUGGUGGGGUAAAGGCUUACCAAGGCAAUGAUGCGUAGCCGAACUGAGAGGUUGAUCGGCCACAUUGGGACUGAGACACGGCCCAAACUCCUACGGGAGGCAGCAGUAGGGAAUCUUCCACAAUGGGCGAAAGCCUGAUGGAGCAACGCCGCGUGGGUGAAGAAGGUCUUCGGAUCGUAGAACCCUGUUGUUAGAGAAGAAAGUGCGUGAGAGCAACUGUUCACGUUUCGACGGUAUCUAACCAGAAAGCCACGGCUAACUACGUGCCAGCAGCCGCGGUAAUACGUAGGUGGCAAGCGUUAUCCGGAUUUAUUGGGCGUAAAGAGAACGCAGGCGGUCUUUUAAGUCUGAUGUGAAAGCCUUCGGCUUAACCGGAGUAGUGCAUUGGAAACUGGGAGACUUGAGUGCAGAAGAGGAGAGUGGAACUCCAUGUGUAGCGGUGAAAUGCGUAGAUAUAUGGAAGAACACCAGUGGCGAAAGCGGCUCUCUGGUCUGUAACUGACGCUGAGGUUCGAAAGCGUGGGUAGCAAACAGGAUUAGAUACCCUGGUAGUCCACGCCGUAAAC